AGAUCCCUAUUUUAUAUACCUACUUGAAAUUUAAAAGUAUUAAUAACAGGUAUUUACUAUAUUAGGUAUCUAACAAAAUACAUCACCUAUAAUAUAAUCCACACAAUGUUCGUACAAAUGUACAAUAUUGGUUUUGUUUGACAUAUACCUACUUGAUAAUACGAGUUAUGACAAUCUAACAUAGCUAGAUUAUUAAAAACAACUUUAAAAUUUGAAUGUAUUACCUGCAUUAUAAAUGCAUACCUAUAUUAUAUUAUUAAUCUAUUAAGAAACUAAAAAUACU
Cinara cedri is the source of this 283-nucleotide non-coding RNA. NCBI's taxonomy places the organism in Eukaryota, Metazoa, Arthropoda, Insecta, Hemiptera, Aphididae. The record is from the annotation of a GenBank genome assembly.